RNAcentral lists this transfer RNA (73 nucleotides) under Ixodes scapularis (black-legged tick). RNAcentral describes it as "tRNA-Phe for anticodon GAA". The record is from RNAcentral. Lineage: Eukaryota; Metazoa; Arthropoda; Arachnida; Ixodida; Ixodidae.
UACUGGUUAGAUCAGUUGGUAGACCGUUCCACUGAAAAUGGAGAGGUCCGUGAUUCGAUACCAGGAGCAGGUA